Molecule: long non-coding RNA, 656 nt
Filed under: Mustela putorius furo (domestic ferret)
Lineage: Eukaryota; Metazoa; Chordata; Mammalia; Carnivora; Mustelidae
Description: lncRNA (ENSMPUG00000030522.1)
Source: RNAcentral
GUCUCCUCUAGGCAAUGUGGACUCUGGGGCUGCUGCAUGACGAAUAAGACGAGAAACAGCCCCCACUGCAGGCAUCAUCCCAUUUAGUCAAACAAACGAGACGGUGCUUCCACUCACAGCUGACAUGUACACUGUCCAUCUGCACUUUUCUGCCUCGUUGAAUUAGGGAUGGCCGUGUGACUUACUCCAGUGAAAUGCAAGACAAAGCAGUAUGUUAUUUCAGGGCUUUAAAAGGCAGUACAGAAUUCUCCACGUAUCCUUUCCUGCCUCAGCAACUGUGGAUCCAAAUGCUGAGAUGAAGCUUCUAUUGGUCCAGUGUCUUGAAAUGAGUGAGGUAACAUGUAGCCUAUUUUCUACUAGUGAGCAACUUAUAUCCAUGAUGAAGCCAACGCUGUUAUCAGAAAAGAGACAGAAAGAAGUCGGACCCUUGAUCAUGCUAUUGAACUAGAUGAGCCGGUUCUGACAUGCGCUCCCAAGCUCACAAGCCAAACAGCACGUUACUCCUGUACCUGGUUUGAUUUGGGUUGUCUGUUACUUGCAUUUAAAAGCAUCUUAAGUGUUGAACUUGCCAAAAGCCUUAUUGAAAUGAAAAAAUAGAAGGUCUAUGUGUGUUUUUUUCAAACAACCAGUCUAAUAAUAUUAAGAAGGGAAUGAAA